Molecule: ribosomal RNA, 1248 nt
Filed under: metagenome
Description: bacterial SSU rRNA
Rfam family: Bacterial small subunit ribosomal RNA
Source: RNAcentral
AGAGUUUGAUCCUGGCUCAGAAUCAACGCUGGCGGCGUGCCUCAGACAUGCAAGUCGAACGCGAAAGUUUCCUUCGGGGAGCGAGUAGAGUGGCGCACGGGUGAGUAACACGUAGGUAAUCUACCUUUGGAUGGGGAAUAACAACCGGAAACGGUUGCUAAUACCGCAUAAUGCAGCGGCACCUAAUGGUGACAGUUGUUAAAGCGGGGGAUCGAAAGACCUCGCGUCUAAGAGGAGCCUGCGGCGGAUUAGCUAGUUGGUAAGGUAAUGGCUUACCAAGGCUAUGAUCCGUAACCGGCCUGAGAGGGCGGUCGGUCACACUGACACUGACAUACGGGUCAGACUCCUACGGGAGGCAGCAGUCGGGAAUUUUGGGCAAUGGGCGAAAGCCUGACCCAGCAACGCCGCGUGAAGGAUGAAAUCCCUCGGGAUGUAAACUUCGCAAGAACAGGAAGAAUAAGUAAGGGUUAAUAUCUCUUACGAUGACGGUACUGUUUGUAAGCUCCGGCUAACUCCGUGCCAGCAGCCGCGGUAAUACGGGGGGAGCAAGCGUUGUUCGGAUUUACUGGGCGUAAAGGGCGCGUAGGCGGCCACCGCAAGUCGGUUGUGAAAUCUCUGGGCUUAACCCAGAAAGGUCAACCGAUACUGCGGGGCUAGAGUGCAGAAGGGGCAACUGGAAUUCUCGGUGUAGCGGUGAAAUGCGUAGAUAUCGAGAGGAACACCUGCGGCGAAGGCGGGUUGCUGGGCUGACACUGACGCUGAAGCGCGAAAGCUAGGGGAGCGAACGGGAUUAGAUACCCCGGUAGUCCUAGCCUUAAACGAUGAAUGCUUGGUGUCUGGGGUUUUAUAGUCCCCGGGUGCCGUCACUAACGCUUUAAGCAUUCCGCCUGGGGAGUACGGUCGCAAGACUGAAACUCAAAGGAAUUGACGGGGACCCGCACAAGCGGUGGAGCAUGUGGUUUAAUUCGACGCAACGCGAAGAACCUUACCUGGGCUAGAAUGCCUCUGACAACCCUAGAGAUAGGGCCUUCUGGGUAAAACCAGACGGAGUGCAAGGUGCUGCAUGGCUGUCGUCAGCUCGUGUCGUGAGAUGUUGGGUUAAGUCCCGCAACGAGCGCAACCCUUAUCAAUAGUUGCCAGCGGUUAGGCCGGGCACUCUAUUGAGGCUGCCGUUGACAAAACGGAGGAAGGUGGGGAUGACGUCAAGUCCUCAUGGCCUUUAUGUCCAGGGCUACACACGUGCUACAA